This 498-nucleotide ribosomal RNA is filed under the name uncultured bacterium. RNAcentral's name for it is "partial 16S ribosomal RNA". It matches the Rfam family "Bacterial small subunit ribosomal RNA", at positions 30 to 523 of the family's 1533-position model. The record is from RNAcentral.
AUUGAACGCUGGCGGCAUGCCUUACACAUGCAAGUCGAACGGUAACAGGUCUUCGGAUGCUGACGAGUGGCGAACGGGUGAGUAAUACAUCGGAACGUGCCUAGUAGUGGGGGAUAACUACUCGAAAGAGUGGCUAAUACCGCAUGAGAUCUACGGAUGAAAGUAGGGGAUCGCAAGACCUUGUGCUACUAGAGCGGCCGAUGGCAGAUUAGGUAGUUGGUGGGAUAAAAGCUUACCAAGCCGACGAUCUGUAGCUGGUCUGAGAGGACGAUCAGCCACACUGGGACUGAGACACGGCCCAGACUCCUACGGGAGGCAGCAGUGGGGAAUCUUGGACAAUGGGCGAAAGCCUGAUCCAGCAAUGCCGCGUGCAGGAUGAAGGCCUUCGGGUUGUAAACUGCUUUUGUACGGAACGAAAAGCCCCGGGUUAAUACCCUGGGGUCAUGACGGUACCGUAAGAAUAAGCACCGGCUAACUACGUGCCAGCCGCCGCGGUAA